UUUUUGUAAGGAUGUGUAAAUGUGUGAAUCGAUCAAUAAGUAAUAUAACUUCUCUUGGUACCUGCUAUAUUCUAGGUCCUAGCCUGAGUCCUUCUUUGCUCAAUGAGGAGUCUAAAGACCUUCCAUGGCUUUGGAGUUAUAGGGUGAAAGGAACCUCCAAAUGGCCCAAAAGCAAGAAAACAGAAGUGCCCUCCUCAUCACAAAAAAAAGAACUGAGAGAAAAUGUUUCAAGAUGUUCCACUGGAAAACCUCUCCAGGUGCCUGUAACUAAUUUCUCUAAUUGACAUUCUCACUCUUACAUUCAAAACUUUCACAGUGAACAUACAACACAACCAAUGAUUACCAGCCAAUAGGGAAGUGCGUCUUAAAUAAUCAAAUAAGAAACUAAGAACAUGCUUUAAAUAAAAAAGAAAAGAAAGAAAACACAAAAAUAACUCAUAAUUAAUAUAUCCAAAGAAACAAGAGGUGAUCAAAUAUCCACAAAACAAGAGCCAUAGCCAAAGCAAAUAGGCAGAAUAAGAAAAAUCUCUUAGAAAUUAAAACAUGGCAUGUCAGAAUCACUUAAGUGCCUGAUGACAAUAUAUGUUAAAGCCCAAAACACAGCUAAACAAUACAUUAUUUCUCCGUAGAAAGAUUUAUGAGCAAAGAAUAUAUAUAGAACUAACAUGUUGAGUUACAGAUUAGCAUCCCAAAUGCAAUUAACUAUUGUUGUAAUUUAGAAACAUAAUUACAAUGCAAAAGGUAGUAUUUUAGUUCCUGGAAACAUAAUAGGCAAAAGAUGAAAAAGAUACAUACACAUGCAUUAGGCCAUGUAGAUGAUUUAACAUUUCCAUUUCAGAGUAAAAUUCAAGAGAAUUUAAACAAUGAGAUCCACCAAAUGACCAUUUAAAUAAUUGUGGAAAAAAUUUUAUAUGCCUGCUCAUGUUACAAUGGAAAUUAUCUUGGAAAGCGUUUUCAAAUGAAGAAGACAUUAUUCUUUUUAGAACCUUUUAUUCUAUUUAAUCAAUGUCACUUAUAUUGGUCCUUCAUUAUUCUUCAGGUUAGACACUAUUCAAGAGUAUUAAUUUGAGGAAAUUGACCCAUUUUUCAUUUAGUUACAUGCUUUUUAGAAAUUUGAAAUGAUUUCUCAUAGAAAAAUAUUCAUGUCAUAUUAUAUUGUCUAUAAAAA
RNAcentral lists this long non-coding RNA (1168 nucleotides) under Macaca nemestrina (pig-tailed macaque). Its description in RNAcentral is "lncRNA (ENSMNEG00000046140.1)". Lineage: Eukaryota; Metazoa; Chordata; Mammalia; Primates; Cercopithecidae. The record is from RNAcentral.